This 259-nucleotide ribosomal RNA is filed under the name uncultured prokaryote. RNAcentral describes it as "partial 16S ribosomal RNA". It matches the Rfam family "Bacterial small subunit ribosomal RNA", at positions 524 to 782 of the family's 1533-position model. The record is from RNAcentral.
UACGUAGGUGGCGAGCGUUAUCUGGAAUUAUUGGGCGUAAAGAGCGCGCAGGUGGUUGAUUAAGUCUGAUGUGAAAGCCCACGGCUUAACCGUGGAGGGUCAUUGGAAACUGGUCGACUUGAGUGCAGAAGAGGGAAGUGGAAUUCCAUGUGUAGCGGUGAAAUGCGUAGAGAUAUGGAGGAACACCAGUGGCGAAGGCGGCUUCCUGGUCUGUAACUGACACUGAGGCGCGAAAGCGUGGGGAGCAAACAGGAUUAGA